This 1263-nucleotide long non-coding RNA is filed under the name Bos mutus (wild yak). RNAcentral's name for it is "lncRNA (ENSBMUG00000001630.1)". The record is from RNAcentral. Lineage: Eukaryota; Metazoa; Chordata; Mammalia; Artiodactyla; Bovidae.
AAUAAGGAUGGAGUCCUCCAAGCCUCACUCCCUUUGAGGAGCAGCUGCUGGGAUGUGAGCACAGUGCUGCAGAAUUCCACUGGAGAAGAGCCAGUACCUCUAGCGGACGAGCUCCCACUCAGGAAAGCCCCCUUCAUUCCAAGCACAUGGGGACCAAGGGGCACGGACUGGAAGUGUGGGCUCCGGCAGACCUGCAAACGUGCUCAGAAGAUCAACGGAAUGGGGUUGGGGGGCGGGGAGCAGAGGUUGUGCAAUGCACCACCAGAAGCGGAGCCUCCAUCAACGGUGCAGCUGGUGGUCAGUCUGCCACCUCCAGGGACGGCGCAGAGCUGCCGGAUCCACACAGCUGCCCAGGCCGGGGUCUGGAUCCUGGGGCACCGAAGGGCCGCGGACUCUCUCGGGGCAGCCCCGCGCUCCGCCCGCUGGGGCCCGGCCGAGGCGCCCCGGGGUCCCUUCGCCGCCCACACCCCCAGCGCCGCGCCGCUGUAUCCAGUUCUUUGUGACCCCUUGGACUGUAACCUGCCAGGCUCCCUUGUCCAUGGAAUUCUCCAAGCAAGAAUACUGGAGUGGGUAGCCAUUCCCUUCUCCAGGGGAUCUUCCUAACCCAGGGAUUGAACUCUGGUCUCCUGCAUUGCAGGCAGAUUCUGCUACUAUGAAUUCCUCAAAUUUGCACAUGAAUUUGAAGAACAAAUGGUGAACUUCUGCAAAGAAAGCUGCUGGGAUUUGGGCAGGGAUUACACCGAAUUCUAAGAUCAAUUUGGGGAGUACUGUCCUCUUUAACAAUAUUGUUUCCUGAUCCAUGAGUAUGAGAUUGCUUUCUAUUUAUUUCAGUUGAGUUCAGUCGCUCAGUCGUGUCCAACUCUCUGCGACCCCAUGGACUUCGGCACACCAGGCUUCCCUGCCCAUCACCAACUCCCGGAGCUUGCUCAAACUCAUGUCCAUCAAGUCGGUGAUGCCAUCCAACUGCCUCAUCCUCUGUCAUCCCCUUCUCCUCCUGCCUUCAAUCUUUCCCAGCAUCAGGGUCUUUUCCAAUGAGCCAGUUCUUCACAUCAGGUGGCCAAAGUAUUGGAGUUUCAGCUUCAGCAUCAGUCCUUCCAAUGAAUAUUCAGGACUGAUUUCCUUUAGGAUGGACUGGUUAGAUCUCCUUGCUGUCCGAUGGACUCUAUUUAAAUCAUCUUUCAGAGCUUCCCUGGUGGCUCAGCUGGUAAAGAAUCCCCCUGCAAUGUGGGAGACCUGGGUUCCAUCCCUGGGUUGGGAAGAUCC